UCUGACACUUGAGAUUCCAGGUACCAACUUGCUUUUCAGAGGACUCGUGACCUCGCGCUAGUCGUGGCAAUACAUACAAACAUGGUAUAGGCAGAAUUAACAUCACACCAAACAUAAGAUCAAAAUAUAUAUUAAUAAUCUACAUAUUAAAAUAAGAUCAUAUGAAUUGGAAUCGUUAAAUUUGAAGUUAUAGAUUUUAAGUUAUGAAUUUCUAAAGGUUUUAUGUGUUUUUUACAAGAUUAAAUAGGAUACAAAUUUUAUUGUGAUAUUCAUGUCAAAACAGUGGUACUAAAUGAUAAAAAAUAAUAUUACAAAAUUAUAGGAAUUGGAAUGGAUUAAUUUGGACUUAAAAUGAAUUAAAUAUGAAUUUUCCAAGUUUCUAGAAUUAUUUUUGUAUUAAAAACCCAUUUCUAUAUCUAUUUCUCUAUUUUUAUUCUUCUCUGGACUGGGCGCACAAAAACUAGAAAAUGCAGGGGCUUCUUGCGGAAAAAUUCUCAAGACUCAGACUAUUCUGAGUUGGAUGGCGGGUUGAAUACUGGAAACUCGGGGUUUCUUUUGUAAAAUCUACGCAGCGAAGGGGUACGCGGCCAUCUGAACCACCCGAUCACUGAUCAAGGGCCCAGAUUAGAUUGCACAUCCCCGUGAACCGGUACGGCACAUGGGCCGAUGGAUCAGAGAUCUACGCCUGAUAUCUAUCCACGCCACUUAUCAGAUCAGGGCCCCCAGAUCCGCGAUCGACGGUCUAGAGUGAAGCAUCGAACCGGUAUGCGUAGAUUUAAUCUCGCGCUUCUAUUCCAAUCGGACGGACUAUAUAUAAUCUGAAAUCGCUCUAACCUUAGUCGCUGGCCCAAAAUCCAAUGGCUAGGUGCCUAUCUUCUUUCCCCAUGCCAUUCUGCCGCCCAUCCGACAGACGGCGCGACCCCAUUCACGGCAGAGGCAUCACCGGGGUUCAACAAUCCCACGACUAGGCACCCAAAAUCAUAGCUAAUCCCGAGAUUUACAAAGAGGGGGAACAAGCGAGCCUGCUGGCGACAUUCUCACCGGCAAUCGGGUGGCACAGAGACCGGACCACGGCGAGGCGCGGGUGUGAGGCCGAUGCACACACCGACGAGCGAUUUCGGUUGCCUUUCUCCCUUGGUGAGACCCCAAGCACGCGCAGAGCUUCCCAGGGAAACCCACAUGACCCGCUCGAGGUUCCCAUGUUGCCGUAGCCACAAAUCACUGACAGCGACCACCUCUGCCCAGUUCUUGCAACCACGGCGGCCCUCGGCUUCCACUCACUCUCUCUCUCUCCGCUCUCUCCCUCAUAGUUCUGUUCGGCCACCGAUGUAGACUCUCCUGAAGCUGGGUGUGGGACAGAUUUGAGGAGAGGAACGCGCAGCGAAGCUCCUUAUAAGGUCACGGGCGAUAGAGCCGCGCCAGAUCGAAUCCCCAAUGAUGCGGUCAAAUUAGUUGCGAUUCUCUCAAUGUCGCGGCAAUGGUUU
This 1484-nucleotide long non-coding RNA is filed under the name Zea mays. Its description in RNAcentral is "long non-coding RNA (ZMAY_LNC000881)". Lineage: Eukaryota; Viridiplantae; Streptophyta; Magnoliopsida; Poales; Poaceae. The record is from RNAcentral.